Capsicum annuum is the source of this 11585-nucleotide RNA transcript. It is a transcript of the gene named probable enoyl-CoA hydratase 2, mitochondrial, with no coding region annotated. The transcript is spliced from 8 exons. The record is from RefSeq and is a predicted model, not a curated record. Lineage: Eukaryota; Viridiplantae; Streptophyta; Magnoliopsida; Solanales; Solanaceae.
UAACCUGGAUCCAACAAACAUAUGCAACAAAAAAUAUUUGAUAACCAUGGUUUAGAAUUCAUUUUGGAAAGUGUACCAUCCAUAGAUCGUCUUCUCCGCCAAGAUCAUUGAUGAGUUAACGUCGAUUUGCUUUAGUUUCUCCCUCACCCUAUGCGGAUCAUCAGCUAUCUUUCUCUCCCUUUUUUAAGCUAAGUGUCUAAACUUGUAAUUACCUACUUCCCUUUUCUAGUUCAAGGGGUUGAGUUUCUUAAGAAACUAAUACCACUAUUUGUACUAAAAAUUGAGUCCAGUAACUAAAGUUUGACAACAUUGAUUUCGUAAAAGGUGUGUCUAAUCCACUCUUUGGUAUUUUACAUAUUUGGCACGGCUAGUGUUUGAGCAUUCUCUACUUUCUCACACAUUUCCUUUCUCUCUCUAUUAUGAUACUACAUAUUAUUUUAGCGAAAAAUUGAUGAAUAAGGUGAAAUCAUGAAGCUUAAAAUUGAACAUUUACUUGAAGAGUAUAUUCCUAUUGCAUCAAUUGAACAACGGCAUGUCAAGUUUUGCAUCUAAUUUCAUCUUCUUUCCCUAUUUCCUUUAUUUUUUUUUAGUUUUUAAAUCGUUUAAAUGUUUGAUUUUAUUCUAAUUACAUUUUGUAUGUUUUGAUUUUCUUAAAACCACUGUUGCAUUGUAUGUUCCUAGUUUUGAUUUUUGUUCCUCCUUUUGCGUUGCAUGUUCGAAGAUUUUAUUUUUUUAAAGCCAUUCUAAUUUAAUUCCUUGUUUGAGGUGUGAUUUGUUUGAUUUUUUACAUAUAAUAUGUGUCCGGUAAGUAUCCUAAUGUUUGCAUGUCGGUUGAGAUAGUUGAAUUUGAGGUAUGGAAUAAAAAUAGAAGUAGGUAAAUAGAAAUAUUGUGAUUUGGUUUGUCAUUUCUGGGUUACUAUUGUUAUUAUUUUUGAAAAAUUGAGGAAGAUCCAUCAAAUCUAACAACAUUUUGAUCAAACAGUAUGUUUGUGUAAUAAAUUUAGAAUCUAAUUAGUAGUACUUGAAUUCGUUGUUUAAAAUUUAGAACUCAUAAAUUUGAAAUCUCGACUCCAUCCCGAACUCUGAACCCAUAGAAAUUGGCAUAAUUGGUGCCAAUAGAAGUCUGUUGUUCAUAGCUCUUCACUGCUUUAGUGUUUGAUGUUUCAUUUGUAAUCUAGUGUAUGUUGUGUAUAGUUAGAUAAAUACAGAUAGCACAAUGUUCAAUUAGAAAGAUGCCAAACAAAUUGGGUUCUUGAAUAGCAAUAGACAUUUGGAAUCUUUUUAAGGUAUGUAUUUAGUGGAUACGAAUCAGAUCAUAUGGGUGGAGCCCUCAAUUAUUGUUGUUGCUAGAUAUGGAUAUUGGUGUUGUUACCUUGAAUUGACUUUAAUUAUUAUUUAUGAAAGUAGUUAAGACGAUGUUAUAUAAUAUUUUAUUGUGUGAGGUUUAAGGGAAAUGUUAUAUGGUGUUAGAGGAGCCUUUUCUAGUAUCAAUGUUUAUUAACCAAGAGAAAGUUUUAUCUGUUUUCUCAUUUCAUGUUAGCUCUUUUUGUGGGUUGUCUUUGUAGUGUCAUUGCUCUUUAAAACAUUUCUUAUUUGUACAGUUUUACAUGAUGAUAAGAAAAACAAUAAAAAGUCACAAGCUAGGAGACAUCAACCAAACAUACAUCUUUCACUUAUUUGUAUAGUAUCACACAUUGAUAAGAAAAACAAUAAAAAAUCACAAGCUAGGAGACAUUUGCCGAACAUACAACUUUUUGCAUAUUUUUAUAGCAUGAAAUGUUGAUAAGAAAAAUAAUAAAAUGUUACAAGCUAGGAGACAUCUGCCAAACAUACAUCUUUCAAUGUUGAUAAGUUUCUUUGUUGUUUGAUCUCUCAGACUUUGCAAGUGCAUCCUCUAUGGGGCUUAUAACAUCUUUGUGGGGAUCAGAUUUAGGAUUGGUUUGUCAUAUGAUGGAAUAAGCUGAUAUUUUUUAUAUCAGAUGUCGAUUUAUGUAGUCAGUAGCAUUUCUACUAUUUUUUAUUCAUAUUGUGUUUUGUACUUAAUGAUAGCUAAUUCAAUUGAUUGUCAUUCUCUAUGUAGGAAUGAAAAACUAUGAUUCCAUCGAAAGUCCUAAAUUUUUUAAGCACUUUGCGAUCAACAUUUUCCUUUUUGGAGGCUCUUCAUAUCCCUACAAUUGCUGCUAUUAAGUGUAUAGCAUUGGGUGGGGGACUUGAAAUGGCAAUGUCUUGUGAUAUCCGGAUAUGUGGUGAAGAUGCAGUAUUGGGUUUACCUAAAAUAGGACUUGCUAUAAUACCAGGGAUGGCAACAAAGCCAGCGUCAGACAAUGCAAAGCUACUCACUGUGUAGAAGCGCAAACCUAUUAACCAGUUGCAUUUUGCUAGGUAGAAUUGCUUCCAGAGUCACCAUUUCAAUCAUAGACUCUUUCAUCUCCCUUCUAUAUUUUCACUUCGUCGGGUUUCCAUGUCAAAGUUGCAUUGAGUUGAAGAAUUUGCAGUUGCAGGUAUAAGCGUUGCUGAACAUGAGCAGCAGAAUUUCACCUAAUGGGGUGGCUAAACAAAAUUUUCAAAGGUUCUAAUCAUAAAGUUUUGGAAGGACAAUAUGACUAGAUAUGUGAAGGACAAAUAGAGGGAGAUGAUCUAUCUACCACAGAGGUAAGUGUGACAUUAAAAUAAUGUGAAAUGAGCUCAUCAUCCGGAUAAACUGGCAUCCUUUCCUAUUUAUUUACUAAGGAAAUUCCUAAAAAAGCGGACAUGCCUUUAAAUUGUUUUUUUUAUUUGUAAUAUUGAUGAGAAAAUUCAAAAAUUUGGACGACUAAAACUUGGCAAGCGUAAGGACUUUUAAUUAUCAUAUUAAUAGGUAAUGUUUUAUGGUUGGUGAUCAAUAGAUUAAUAUAGGAAGGUCGUGUCAAUAUCAAGUAGAUAUUGUUCUUAUUGUGUUGUUCAUGGCAAAGGGCAUUAAUUCUACUUUAUUCUAUAACUGAGAAACUACUGUUAAUGGAUUGUGAUCAUGGAAUGACACCUUAAUCUGGUUCAAGCUUUGCAAAACAAAUCGGUGGCCAGGUAAAAGAAUGUCACUAUACUUUUUCCAACAAUAUUUCACUACCUUCUUAAUUCAAUUCUGAAGUAUAGCAUCAUGAUUUGUAUAUUAGUGUGUUGUUUCUGUUCCUAUCUGUUUAUCGUGUUGUUAUAUAGUUUUUGCUCUAUUUCUUUGAGUGGAAAGUUGGUGAUCCUUUUAUAUAGUUAGAAAAAUGGGGAUUGAUAGAGAGAUAGAGUUUGUAAGAAUUUGCUUAAAGAAACAGAGAGUAAGGGGAUAAAAGGGAUAAUAGUUGAGAUGUCAAUUUUCAAGCUAUCUGGUAAGUAUAGUUUCUUGAAAGUUGGAAAUAUUAUGUUGGAUAUACCAGGUAUUGUACCAGUACUGGUGUACUGGAAUAUUGUAUUAUGUUGGGCCCCCUUCAGGGGAGCAGUGUAAAAAUCACAAAUUUGGAUAAUCUCUUGUCCUUUAAGGUAUUAGUAGUGAGAUAAUCAGCUGCUUAAGUUUUGAAAUGAAAAUGUUGUUUGAAAUAUAUCUUUGCUAGUAAUAAUGCCUAUCACAUAUUCUACCAUCCUGUGUAUCAAUUCUCAGCAAGUGAUGCAAAGAGAAUGAGACAUUUAAGUGAAGCAGACUAUGAUUAUGAAAAUGAUCCAGAUCUAAUGUAGGUUGAUAAAUUUGGAAUGAUGACAUUGAUCAUUUUUGAAAUGUACAAAUAUAUUUAGCAACCUAGAAUUGUACUUGUUUAGUAUUGAGUGGUCAUUAUGUUGUAGAUAUUUUCUAAACUUACACGAGUUACUGAUUUGCUAUAGUUGAGAUUUGGCAAGAAUCAGAAGGAAAAACUUAAGUUGUGUGGGCCUCGAAGACAGUAUUAGAACCAGUAUUUUGUUCAUCAUGCAUAAAAGUGUAGCUUAACUUCAUAACUAAUAGUAAGAUUCACUGUAUCCCUCUCUUUGUAAUUGACUCUAUGAACCUUACAUAUACAUUUGAUUCUCAAACAUAAUUGCAUAUUAGUAAAUAUGUAAGAAUGGACCUGUGAGGAGGCAGACCAUUUAGUGUUAGAGUAUGUAAGUAAUCUUACUGAUAGUAGUUAUUUGUAUCAUCCUCUGUAGGUCGAAACUAAGAAACGUUCUAGUUUCACCAGGAAAUCUGGAAAUUGACAUUUUAUUUAGUUGGUCGACAUACUCAUUUCUGCUAGCCAGGAUAGUCCGUUCAGUCAUGUAUUUUACAGAACUUACAUUUUCAGGCAAUGAUGGAAAUAUUUUCUCUAUUAAGGCAUCUGAACCAGUGAUAUCACUCUUAGUUUAAAUAACUAAUUGUCUUGGAAGUAGUACCAAAUUAUCUCUUAUUGUAGGCUCCUCACCAUUACCUAUGCGUAGUAAGAAUUCACUGAAUGAUGCAUCUGUUCUGGCCCUCAUAUUUCUUGUUAGUUUAAUCUUUUCCAUUCGAUUCCACAAGUACGACUUUACCAAACUUGCAUUUACCGUUUUAGUCCUUGUAGAUUUUUGAAUUACUGGCAGUACCUGACGAAAAUCACCUCCGAAAACCAUUACUUUUCCACCAAAGGGUUCAUCAAUGUCCAAUAUAUCUCUGAAGCUCCUAUCAAUCGUUACAAUUGUCCAACGGCUAUCCAUAGGUGCUUCGUCCCAAAUAAUCAACUUGGAUUUUUUAAUCAAUUUAGCUCCACCACUUUGCUUUGACAUACGUGUUACUAUUGUACCAUUUGUCUGAAGUGGUAUCUCAAAUCUAGAAUGAGCCGUAUGAACUCCCGAUAAAAGAGCUGCUGCUACACCACUUGUUGUCGUUGCUAAUGCUAUCAUGCCCCUAGAUCUGAUAUUUGCAAGUAAUGCACAAUAUAGGAAUGUUUUUUAGGUCCCUCCGGGUCCAUCGACAAAGAAUAAUCCUGAUUGGCUAGAUUCUAACCUUUACAAUAUAAUCUUGAAUGCUUGCUCUUGUUCAGGAUUUAGCUUUUUUUGUGCAUCCAAAUCUUAUGAAGGCACUAUUAUAGACUCUUCUUCCAGUAUUUCUAUGCAUUCUGAUAUAAUUCUAUCAUCUACACUCCGUUCAAGUUCAGGUAUGUCAUAAUUUUGAAUUCUCUUUCCCAUGCUCUCUAAAAAAUGAUUUAUGCUUUUCAGUGUGCAUUGAAGUUGAGUCGUAGGAGAAUUUUCAUGUAUUCUCUUAAAAUCUUCUGACAUGUCAUCAUAAUAUGUAUCCCAGAGCUUUCUAACAUCCUUCGGAUUACAAUGAACCAUAUUUUUGCAAAUAAAUUUCUAAGAGCCGAUGGCAUUUUGAAGACGACCGCUUCACGUAAGCAUUCAGAAAUUCUAUUAUCCUAAUCGAGUAAACCUCUUUCUUUUGCAGCUUCUUUGAAUGUGUCACACAACCUUCCAUUAACAGUUAGCAAGUAUUAAAAUAAAGUUGGUCCUCGUACGUGAUUCAAUAAUAAUCUCAAAUAAUACCUUUCUCCUUCUACUAGGUUAGCUGUAAAUUAAAGAACAAAGAACAAAUAAAUGAUAUUUGAACGUUUACAAAUAUUAAGAGUGGUCAUGUUGAAUUUCCUACCAAUAGCAAUUCGACCAAUUACUAAUCUUGUUUUUCUUUGCGUCCAAAGCUUACCUUGAGCAUUUCAAACAUAAUACUCUGGAAAUUCCUUGUAUAUGUAUUUGCACGCUUCAUUGUCUAUUGAACAUUUGUGAAAAUACUCAGUAAGCAUGGUUUUUGAGGCAUAUUCUCAGGAAACAACAUUUUUCAAAUUUUGGUUACUCCAAUAGCACACUACAAUGUGAAUAGACAAUAUUAAAAAGAUUAACAGAAUAUUUCAUACAAAAAAACUUUAUGUAUUUCUUUUCAUGAUAAAUUCACAGCUUAAAACAGAUUAUUACAAUCUAAAUUUUAUGACUUUUUUAUCUGAAGGGUAAAGAUGUAGAAUUCAGAUGGCUUAAGGAAGCCUAAUUGUUUACCUGUUUGUUUAUUUGGAAGAUGUAGUUGAAGGAUAAUGACCUGAGGCUGCAUUUCACUAAGAUCAAAUUCAUAAAUUCUCCAUAGCGCUUCUGGUGCAGCAACCCAACGUGCAUAUUGAAAACUCUUAAUUUCAUCAACGGCUUUUUCUCCAUCAUCUGAUUCAACAUAAACAGUGCACCUAUUAUGUCCUUUAUAUAUAUACUUGUAAAGAUACUUUAUUUCUUUUACCCUUGCAAAAGACUCAACAGUGAAAUGACAAUUAUAUCUACUUAGUAAAUAAGAAUUAUAAAGAACAACCCAUUGAUUAUUCAUUGUCUUGUCUCGAACUUCCUCUUUUUUUCCAUCAUUUCGCCUCUUGUAAAUAGGAUAACUAUCCUUUCCUUGUAUUUAUUUAUUAUUAAAUGGUUGAGGAUAAUGACUCUUUCACUGACCAUCCCUAAUGCAUAAAUUUGUUGGAUAUUUUUUUCCACACGGGCCAUGCAUCAUAUUUUUGAUAACCAAGUCAUGCAAAAUUGAAAAUUUUGCUUGGUCGGGAAGUUUAGUAGAAAUAAACAUGUCAUAAUCAUCUGGUGAUGUCAAAUUGUAUCCUUGUUCUAGUAUUAACAAAAGGUGAAUGUGUGGUAGUCCUCUUUUCUGGAAUUCAAUGACAUAAGCAUAUGCUACAACAGGCCCAAAUAUUCUUUUCUAGAAGAUUUGAUCUUUUAAAUCUUGUAACUUUGAUCUGAAAACUCUAGUCACCAAGUCAGGUCUGUCUUGAGCAAGUUGUCCUUCUAUCAAAUUUUCUUGAAUCUCUGGCCAAUCUGGAUUACAUGUCAUUGUGAUAAACAAAUCUGGUUUCCCAAAAUAUUGAACCAAAGCCAUUGCAUCCGUAUGUCUACGACGCAUGUCCCUAGGACCUCCGAUAAAUGAUGCAGGAAGUAUUAUUCUUUGACCAACUUUCGAGCCUCUGCUUUCUCCAGCCAUAAUACUAUCAACUAUGCCUUGCAAAAGUACUCUCUACAAGAGACACAAUUUUCAGCUCCACGUCGUACACCUGCAAAAUAUUUUUAAAUAUAUUGAUAUGAGAGUUGUAAGUACACAAUUCUAAGAAAUUUUGUUUCAAAAAUUUACCUUGUUCCUCGUUGUCAAACACCUCAUCAACGGACAUAAAUGUAGGGUUAUUUCGGUUGAGGCCUAGAACUUUAGUUCCAUGCUUGCCUUUACUUGUUUUAUGUUGUUUUCGUAUUCCUUGGUGCCAGCCUAGUUCACCACUUGGAAAAAGAAAAGGAUAAUGGAGCGGGUCAUAACAUCCGUAAUAAUGUUUAACUCUAUGAAUAUUACCUGAAUGUUCAUGAAUAAUAAUCUCCCGAUCAAAUGGUACAUUGGGGUUAUUUUCGUCUAUCCAAAUUGCAGCAACUUGAUCUACUGAUGGUUUAUUGUACACACGUUGAUCUAGUUUAGCAGUGGAAGCAAUUCGAAUUCUAAAUCCUUAAUGUUUGAAUGAUCCUUUAGUUGGUGAAACAAUUGUGCAUAAGGAUUGCCAUCCAUUAUUUGUUUAAUUAUUGCGACAACUUCCUCAGAUAAAUUGGCUUCUUUGACUUUUGAAAUCCUAUUGCGAGAUUCAUUUUCUGUGUCAAAAAAGUACAUCUAAAAAUAGCAUGGAUUAUUAUCAUGGGGUAGUAAUGAGGGGAGAUCAUGAUAUAUUUGACCCUUUGCUCGAAAUGUAUAAACUCCUUUUCGCAAAGAUGCCAGAUCAUUGUCAAGUUUAACACCAAAAGACAUAAAUCCAAAUAUGUUGUUAUAUGCUCUAAUAUGUCUAUGAAAUUCUUCUGCUACUUCAGAUUUAGAGAAGAUUAAAUUAUAUAAUUGAGUUGGAACUGCAGUAUUUGCAAGUUUUAUUGAUCCAUUGUCGCAACAAAAUGUUAGAGUCUCAUGUUGAAAUCUCAUAGCAUGAGAAUUAGUGCAUUCAGGAACAUUUUCCAACUUGAAUACACGAUAUUGAUGGUAUGUAGUCAAUUUCACCUAAAUUUGUUGAGUAAAAUCUUAGAAAUCUUAGUAAUAAUAAAGUGAGCACAAAUAAAAUGUAAGUAACUUAAAUUAAUAAAAUAGAAUUGCAUUACCUUCAAUUUCACACCUUUGCGAUAGAGCCUUUAGGAACCAAUAUAUUUUGCAUCUUUUUUUUGGUCUUGUUUCUUCAAUAUCGACAUCUUCUAUGGACUCAAUCCUUUUAUUACCUUUAAAAAGAAGUAAAUAGUAUAUUCAGUUUGAUUCAAAAUUUGAGGAAUAUAAUAAAUAUGUUAUAAUUUUGCAUUUUGAAGAUCUGCAAUGACAAAAUUGAAGCGACUCGUUUUGAUUAGUGUGAGAGUGAUAAAUGAGCUAGGAGCAGCGCAUCCAAAGUUAGCAGCAUUCUUAGUGUUUGUGGUGACAUCAAUUUCAUUUGUGAUAGCUGUGGUGUAAGCUAUAAUCGUGUUAUGUUUGCGUAAUGUUAUUAGCUAUGCAUUCACCAAGGGUGAAACUGUGGCCAAUGCAGUGUCUGAUUUGUGUCCAUUUUUAGCUUUCACCCUCAUUCUUAAUGGCAUUCAACUAGUCUUGUCUAGUAAUAUAUAUCUCCUCCUUAAUCUCUUUAUUUAUAUUAUAAUAUACAGGGUAUAUACGCUGACAAGGUAAAGUUUUUAUACUAUCUAUGAAAUAUAACAUGUUGUAGCAAGUUGUCGUAAUCUUUAUGUAACUGCACUUACUUCAAAAAGUGGAUAGGAACAUCUUGUUAGUACCAUGAAAGACCAGAUCUUGUAAUUAUUGGAAGGAAUCAAAGACAGAGUUGCAAACUUUUAAAACUCUAAACAUUCCUAGUCUAAUUUUUUUAAAAAUACUUUUAAAACUUUAAGGUACCCAAAUAAACUACUCCCAUGCAUGUCCGAAUCCUACCCAACGUACAUUUACUUGUUAAAUUUUGUGUGACUUAGACCUACCUCUGUGGUUCAAUUUGGAUAUAUAUUGAUAAUAAUGUCGAUACUUCCAUUAAUCCAUGUAAUCCUCAUUCUUUAAAGAUGGAUAGAAGAUCCAAUAGAUUUAUCGUUUCAGUUUCAUUCUGAUAAUCCAAGUUAUAAUGAGCUUUAACACUAUUCAAAUCUUGAAAAUCAGUGUGCAUUUACCUUCUCUGCUUUAACUUUUAUUGGUAUAAUAAAUACAUUUUUACUUUUUGUUUUAGCUAAUUAGAUUGAUAAUACUCCUUUUAGUCUAUUGUUGGGUAUAUUGGUUCAAUUUUUCUGGAGUUGACAUCAGGUAAAAUGUACUAAGUAUGAACUGAAAGUAAUACGAAAGUUGUUUUGUAGCACAAGACAUCUCAGAAUAAGUAAAAUUUUCUUUCAAUGGCCAGUCAACCUCGGUUACAGGUCUUAGCUGCUAGCAAGAAUAAAAUCUCUGCACUAAAAGGAUUUCCUUAUUUACCUUCUUUGAGUCUACCUCACAAAACACGGCAGCAUCUGAUAAUCAAGUUGAAGUCCCUUGCAUCUCUAUUCCACUGUCCUCUUCUCCUGCAAUAUGUUCUCCAAGAAGAACAUCUAGGAUGUCCAGGCAACCUAUUUGGCUAAAGGACUAUGCUACUUCUAAGGAUGGAAAGAACUGCAGAUAGUCCCUGGAAAACUACCUCUUCUAUGAUAAAACUACAAGGUCAUAUCAUAGCUACUUAAGCAAAUUCUCCACCUUGGUUUAACCACAUACUUCUAGGCAAGCUGCAGUAGAUUCAAGACGGGCCGAGGACAUAAAGCUAUAGAUUCAAGCACUUGAAGAAAACAAGACCUGGAGGUGGUGCCUUUACCGCUCGAAAAGAAUACUGUGGGAUCCACGUGGGUCUAUAAGAUCAAGUAUCAACCUAAUAAAGAGGUAUAUAGAUUCAAAGAUAGAUUGGUAGCAAAAGUUUAUAGUCAACAAGAAAGUUUGGAUUAUUAUGAUACCUUUUCUCAUGGGUCUAAGAUGGUUACAGUUAGAGGUGUAAUUGUUGUAGUAGCUUCAAAAGGUUAAUUUCUAUAUCAGAUAGAUGUCUACAAUGCUUUCUUACAAGGUGAUCUAGAUGAAGAGGUUUACAUGGAGAUGCUAGAAGGUUUCAAAAAACAAAGCGACACAAGAGUAUGCAGAUUGUUGAAAUCCUUAUAUUCUUAAACAGGCUUCCAGACAAUGGAACCUGAAACUUACUAAUGCUUUGGUAAAUGCUGGUUUUGUUCAGAGUGUACAUGACUAUUCCUUGUUUACAUUAAAGAAACAGAAAGACAUAGUGAUAAUUUUAGUCUAUGUUGAUGACUUACUCAUCAUAGGUAGCAGUUCCUCAUUGAUAUCUGAUGCUAAGGAGGUUUUACACAAGAAAUUUAAGUUGAAGGACUUAAGAGAGCGUAAGUAGUGCUAAGCCUGCUUUCACUCUAUGGGGCAUAAUCUCAAAUUGACUACGCUGGAACAUGAUCAUGCAAAUGGUUGUCUUGAAGAUGCAAUUUAGACCGAUAUUACCUCUUAUAAGAGGUUUGUUGGAAAAUUAAUGUAUGCUACUAUCACCAAACCUGAUAUUAGUUUUGUUGUUCAAACUCUUUGUCGGUUCAUGUAAAAUCCUAAAAGAUAUCAUUAGGAGGCUACUACUAGAGUGGUUAGAUACCUUAAGGGUACUAUUGGUCAAGGCAUUUGGUUAAAGGCUCAACCUGCUGCGACUCUUUUUUAUUGGUGUGAUUCAAAUUGGGCAGCCUGUCUUAAUACUAGGACAUCUGUUACUGGCUAUAUAGUGAACUUUGUAGAUUCCUUGGUCUCAUAGAAGUCCAAGAAGCAGUAGACAAUGUCCAAAAGCACAGCUGAAGCUGUGUACAGAAGCAUGGCUUCAGUGAUUGUAGAGGUGACUUGGUUGGUUGGUCUGUUCAAGGACUUGGAUGUACCUCUCACUAAACCUAUCAAGGUAAUCAGUGAUAGAAGAUCAGUAAUUCAACUGGCUGUAAUCCCUGUGUUUCAUGAGAGAACUAAACAUAUAGAAACUGAUUGUCACUUUAUUAGAUACAAGAUCAAGUAUGGUUUGGUUGAGACUCUUUAUGUUCAAACUCAGAGGCGGAGCCAGGAUUUCAACAUAGAGGGUUCAAUAUUCAAAGAAAACUUAGUCAAAGGGGAUUCAACACCUACUAUAACCACAUAAAAAUAAUUUUAAUCAUGUAUACAUAGUAUAUUUUUCCUUCGAAGGAGGUUCGGCCGAACCCCCUAAAGGAGGCUAGCUCCGCCUCUGUUCAAACUCAUGAUCAAGUGUCUGAUUUACUUAAUAAUUUUCUGUCAACCUCUACAUUUGCAUUUGAUGGGUAAGCUUGGAUGCUUAAUAUCCUGCACCCUUCAUCUUGAGGGGGAGUAUUGCAAGCUCAAGAUAGACGAGGAAGUAGUUUUUUACUGUUCCAUUCAAAUAAAACAAUUUUUACUAUUCAUUCAUAGUUUCUAUUUUUACUAUGCAAGUGAGUGCAAGUGGGAGUUAGUUAGUUAGUUAAAGUGAGAGCUGAUGCUAAGCUGUAUAGUUGAGUUUCUUAUAAGAUUGUCUAUAAAUAGUGAGGUGUAUAGAUAUUUUGUACAGUUUUCAAUCAGAAAAUGCAAUGAAACAGUUCUUUUU